Malus domestica (apple) is the source of this 1491-nucleotide long non-coding RNA. RefSeq lists it as uncharacterized. NCBI's taxonomy places the organism in Eukaryota, Viridiplantae, Streptophyta, Magnoliopsida, Rosales, Rosaceae. The record is from RefSeq and is a predicted model, not a curated record.
UGGAAGACAUGGAGAGAAGAGAGAGGAAGAAGAAGAAAAAGAAAAGAACAACUCCAACAAAAAGCCAUCCUCCCUUUCAUAUUACCUCUUUAUCUUUCUUUAAGGCUUUUAAUCCAUCUUUCAUUGUGUUUGUAAGUCCCUCAUAUAUAAUGAAAUGCAAUGAAAGCAAACCCCAGUGGAUGUAGUCGAUUUGGCGAACCACUUAAAUCUUGUGUUGUUUAUGCAUUUACAUUUGGAGAUCAUUGCCAUGAGAAGCACUUCCACCAAACCAUCGAAAAUCUCCAUUUAUUUCCCUUGAGAAUGAUGUACAAAAAGUGUGAGACAUAUCCCAGAAAAAUACAUAAGACCUUAUCCAACAAAUCUCUCCACCAAACUCACCAUCAUUUUCAUCUGUCAAAAGAAAGAUAUCCAAAAACUAGAAAUUCGUCCAGCCUAUUUAACAGACCAAAACACCAUCAUCCAUAGAUUAUAUCAUAGUACUUUCUUCAUGCAAGUUGUGUGUCUUUCUCUCUACCAUGAUAUAUCCAAAUUUCAGGAAAAUCCAACAGUGCGAUCGUCCGAUAUGUUUGAAAUACCAACUCAGUCUCUAAUCCCGAAGAAAACUGGACAGCCAUCUUAUGAGUACCAAAACCCCAUUUUUCGUAGCUCCAAUCGAAACACUUCCUUCACAAACUUUGUUCCUUAUCAUCUCCUCUAUAAUAUAUCCAAAAACCACGACAAUCCAAUCUAUGUGCUGACUUGUACCCCAGUUCGAACAGCUGAUGUUCGGUUAAGCUAGCCUUCUCUGCCAACCUCUUUGCAUGGCCAACAUCUCCAGUUUCUUUCUCUCCCUUCCAUGGAAGUUUUUCAGCAAUCCGACCCCUACUACAUAUGUAGAAUUUCAGGUAUAUUAAAGAAGAGUAAAGGGAAGUGGUGAAGAGAACAAGAGGGAGGAAAUGCUUACAGGCUUGUUAAAGAAAAUGUGAGUAUUGAUAUCUAUGUGAACGUGACAUAUACAUAUGCAUUGCAAAGCAAGAAAAGAGUUGUGUUGAGUCUUGUAAAGUGUUUGAGUUGUGAGGAUAUUCAAGGGCUAAAGUUUGCCUUGAAUGUAAAAUAAUGAACCUUGUAUAUGUCAAGCGUAGGGUGCAAGGCUUGAGUAUACAUAUUGGUUGAUUAUAAAAAUAAUUAAAUCUUGUAUAUGUCAGGCGUCAGGGGAAGGACUUGAAUAUACAAUUGGGCGUCAAGGGAAGUGUCUGUUUAAUAAAAUGGAAACUAAGAGUUUAAUUACAAAAAUUGGGUUUAAGGGAUGAAUGGGAGUUAACUGAUAUUCUAACGUACUUGGAGCCAAGUGGUAUAAGCAUGAUAUGAGACGCGCAAGCUUGGGUGCCUUAGGUAUGUGUUAGCGAGAAUAGAAGGGGGUGAAUACAUUCAUCCAUCUCAUUUGCAUAUAUUUCAUGCAUUUGAAGAAUUGUUACAAUUUAAUUAUCAUCUAAUUGGUAGUAUUUGUUGUGA